RNAcentral lists this ribosomal RNA (252 nucleotides) under uncultured bacterium. RNAcentral's name for it is "partial 16S ribosomal RNA". It matches the Rfam family "Bacterial small subunit ribosomal RNA", at positions 524 to 776 of the family's 1533-position model. The record is from RNAcentral.
UACGUAGGGUGCGAGCGUUGUCCGGAAUUAUUGGGCGUAAAGAGCUCGUAGGCGGUUUGUUGCGUCGGCCGUGAAAACCUGCAGCUUAACUGUGGGCCUGCGGCCGAUACGGGCAGACUUGAGUUCGGUAGGGGAGACUGGAAUUCCUGGUGUAGCGGUGAAAUGCGCAGAUAUCAGGAGGAACACCGGUGGCGAAGGCGGGUCUCUGGGCCGAUACUGACGCUGAGAGCGAAAGCGUGGGGAGCGAACAGG